GAUUAAGUUUGUGGAUGUCAUUGUUCGUGCCUUUCUAUCAAACCAAAAGUGAUGGCGUGUACGUCAAAUUAACCGGUCGCUUGCGUGCCGAGCUCGGCGUGCCCGUAGUUGCAGCCUAUUCAUUGAGUGUGGUAACAAAUUUCAACGAUAUCACUCAUCAUUUCCUGGACUGCAUCUAUGUUCAUCUGAUGAUGCGAAGCGACCAUGCUAAACGCGUCGUGCACUCUCUUGCUCUCGUCCCAUUUGCCGCAUCCGCACCGCUGGCUAGCACUGCACGCCAUGUGCCAGAGCGUCGUCUGAGUGUGAAGGCCGAGGAAGAAAAUCUCACUGAUAUGAUAAUGGGAUUUCUGGAGCAGCCGGGGAUCAG
Long non-coding RNA from Triticum aestivum (bread wheat), 367 nucleotides. RefSeq lists it as uncharacterized. NCBI's taxonomy places the organism in Eukaryota, Viridiplantae, Streptophyta, Magnoliopsida, Poales, Poaceae. The transcript is spliced from 3 exons. The record is from RefSeq and is a predicted model, not a curated record.